Ipomoea triloba (trilobed morning glory) is the source of this 593-nucleotide long non-coding RNA. RefSeq lists it as uncharacterized. NCBI's taxonomy places the organism in Eukaryota, Viridiplantae, Streptophyta, Magnoliopsida, Solanales, Convolvulaceae. The record is from RefSeq and is a predicted model, not a curated record. The transcript has 3 exons.
CAGAAGAAAAAAAAGCCCUAGGUACCCAGACUUUUCAAGUACGCUGGCGCGCUCCCUCGCUCACUACAUCUGUCUGCUUCCUCACUGCCUCUCCCUCUGUUCCAAACCGGCGCUAGCCCUCCCUUUCCAACGGCACUACUUCUCCGGCCGCUCCUAAUUAACAGCUAUAUUUAUCAUUUCAACUGCGACAAUCUCAGCAAUUGUUGCUGCUCCCAUAGCUGCAGACUUGGGAUAUGGCCAGUGGCGUAUGACUUUAAACUUUCUUCUCCCACCCUGUUUGCCCGCUCCAUCUCUGAGAAGUACUAUGGCCAUGCCCACUGCUUGUCUCUGCUCUAACAGCCUGUUUGGUUCGCCGGGAAAUUUUUUCCGAGGAACAAAUUUUCCUUAAAUUUGAGAAAAAUUGAAUUUUCUUGUGUUUGGUUCAUGAAAAAUAUUUUUCACCUGGAAUUUUUUUUCCUCAAAUAUGAGGAAAAAAAAUUCUUAGCUCAACAUUGGUAUCUUUUUUUUCUAUGGGCAUUGGGAACAAAUUAUCAUUUUUAGGACAAUUUUGCCCUCAGAACUUUUUUAAUUACCCUAAUAAUUUUUAUUAUUUU